CCAGCAAAGGAGUCACAUGAUGGCACUACAAGAAAAAGGUCUGCUGGUGGCUGCCGCAAAUGCUCUAAAUGCAGAUCGAUAAUGCCAGUUUGGACCCAGAGAGCAGAGAGGACAAGAAGGCUGAGUCAGGAGGAGAUCCGGAAAGGCAGUGGUUCGAGAGGAAGGUGUGCAUACAGCUCCUCAGCCUACCUAUCCCCUCAGGCCCACACAAGGAUGCAGAUCAAGCUGCCAGGGAGCCCUUCCUGGGAAACGCAGGAAGAGAAUAAACCAACUGCCAACCUGUCACGGACACAGUUCCUCAUGAGAGCUGGGUGACCAACAAAGCUCCGGCUCUCUGUGACCACAGCCUAGCAUCUCAGCAGGUCCUGACAUGCCUGUCUGGCUUCCAGACUCCCAGACUCUUCCUUCACCUUGCUGAGGUCCAUGCUCCUAGGACAGGGCAUCCUCAUUUUUUUUUGGUUUUUCCUCCUUGUAUUUUUGAGACAGGGUUUCACUGUGUAGUUCUGGCUGGCCUUGAACUCGUACCAAUCCUCCUGCCUCAGGCUCUGGAAUGCUGGGAUUGCAGACAAGCACCAGCUUAGACCCAGCCUCUGGCCUACCGACCAUUCACUAGCUGUGCCACCCUGAGGACUUUAUUAAGCCUGUUGGUGCCAGUUUUGGUGAAGUAAGGAGAAGAAUUCCUGCUUCGAAGAAUUGCCGUAUGGAGUAAAGGAGUUACUGGAGGAAAGCGCCAAGCGUCAAGCUUGCCACACAGCAAGCACUCGAUGAAUGACCCGGCACCUGAUCCCCGAACCUCUCCGGCCCCCAUUAUUCCUUAUCAGGUUGGGCUUUGCACCCCAAAACUUCAGUAGGUAGGGCCAGCUCUGUCGCUGAGAACUUUUAUGCGUGAUGUGG
Molecule: long non-coding RNA, 894 nt
Filed under: Heterocephalus glaber (naked mole-rat)
Lineage: Eukaryota; Metazoa; Chordata; Mammalia; Rodentia; Bathyergidae
Description: lncRNA (ENSHGLG00000041125.1)
Source: RNAcentral